RNAcentral lists this ribosomal RNA (253 nucleotides) under uncultured bacterium. RNAcentral describes it as "partial 16S ribosomal RNA". It matches the Rfam family "Bacterial small subunit ribosomal RNA", at positions 524 to 776 of the family's 1533-position model. The record is from RNAcentral.
GACGAACCGUGCGACCGUUGUUCGGAUUCACUGGGCUUAAAGGGCGCGUAGGCGGACCGCCAAGUCAGGGGUGAAAGCCCCCGGCCCAACCGGGGAAGUGCCUUUGAGACUGGCGGUCUCGAGCGGGAUAGGGGCAGCUGGAACUUCCGGUGGAGCGGUGAAAUGCGUAGAUAUCCGGAGGAAUACCAAAGGCGAAGGCAGUGUCCUGGCUGGCAUCUGACGCUGAGGCGCGAAAGCUAGGGGAGCGAACAGG